RNAcentral lists this ribosomal RNA (484 nucleotides) under uncultured bacterium. RNAcentral's name for it is "partial 16S ribosomal RNA". It matches the Rfam family "Bacterial small subunit ribosomal RNA", at positions 30 to 507 of the family's 1533-position model. The record is from RNAcentral.
AUUGAACGCUGGCGGAAUGCUUUACACAUGCAAGUCGAGCGGCAGCACGGGGGCAACCCUGGUGGCGAGCGGCGAACGGGUGAGUAAUACAUCGGAACAUGCCCAGUCGUGGGGGAUAACACUUCGAAAGAAGUGCUAAUACCGCAUACAUCCUGAGGGGGAAAGCGGGGGAUCGCAAGACCUCGCGCGAUUGGAGUGGCCGAUGUCAGAUUAGCUAGUUGGUGGGGUAAAGGCCUACCAAGGCAACGAUCUGUAGCUGGUCUGAGAGGAUGAUCAGCCACACUGGGACUGAGACACGGCCCAGACUCCUACGGGAGGCAGCAGUGGGGAAUGUUGGACAAUGGGGGCAACCCUGAUCCAGCCAUUCCGCGUGAGUGAAGAAGGCCUUCGGGUUGUAAAGCUCUUUCGGCAGGAACGAAACGGUGAGCUCUAACAUAGCUUGCUAAUGACGGUACCUGAAGAAGAAGCACCGGCUAACUACGCG